CCUACGGGUGGCAGCAGUCGAGAAUCAUUCACAAUGGGGGAAACCCUGAUGGUGCGACGCCGCGUGGGGGAAUGAAGGUCUUCGGAUUGUAAACCCCUGUCAUGUGGGAGCAAAUUAAAAAGAUAGUACCACAAGAGGAAGAGACGGCUAACUCUGUGCCAGCAGCCGCGGUAAUACAGAGGUCUCAAGCGUUGUUCGGAAUCACUGGGCGUAAAGCGUGCGUAGGCUGUUUCGUAAGUCGUGUGUGAAAGGGGCGGGCUCAACCCGAGGACGGCACAUGAUACUGCGAGACUAGAGUAAUGGAGGGGGAACCGGAAUUCUCGGUGUAGCAGUGAAAUGCGUAGAUAUCGAGAGGAACACUCGGGGCGAAGGCGGGUUCCUGGACAUUAACUGACGCUGAGGCACGAAGGCCAGGGGAGCGAAAGGGAUUAGAUACCCGGGUAGUC
This 446-nucleotide ribosomal RNA is filed under the name uncultured bacterium. RNAcentral's name for it is "partial 16S ribosomal RNA". It matches the Rfam family "Bacterial small subunit ribosomal RNA", at positions 338 to 795 of the family's 1533-position model. The record is from RNAcentral.